UGUACUAUUCCUCUUCUUCCUUCUCCUUUCAUCCUCUUCUUCAUGAUCUUCAUCAUCAACAACACACCAACCCAGAAAAAAAAAUCCUUUUCAAUCUUUACCAAUUUAGAACCCAAAAUCAUUCAAUCUCUAAUCUCAUAUAUCAACUUUAAUUCCCAGAAAAAGAUGCUAAAUUAAAUUGUUGAAAGGAAAUUAAAUAAUUUGAUGUGUGUGAAGGAAUGAACAACGA
RNAcentral lists this long non-coding RNA (229 nucleotides) under Medicago truncatula (barrel medic). Its description in RNAcentral is "long non-coding RNA (MTRU_LNC007169)". The record is from RNAcentral. Lineage: Eukaryota; Viridiplantae; Streptophyta; Magnoliopsida; Fabales; Fabaceae.